This 485-nucleotide ribosomal RNA is filed under the name uncultured bacterium. RNAcentral's name for it is "bacterial SSU rRNA". It matches the Rfam family "Bacterial small subunit ribosomal RNA", at positions 501 to 982 of the family's 1533-position model. The record is from RNAcentral.
CUACGUGCCAGCAGCCGCGGUAAUACGUAGGGCGCGAGCGUUGUCCGGAAUUAUUGGGCGUAAAGAGCUUGUAGGCGGUUUGUCGCGUCUGCUGUGAAAGGCCGGGGCUUAACUCCGUGUAUUGCAGUGGGUACGGGCAGACUAGAGUGCAGUAGGGGAGACUGGAAUUCCUGGUGUAGCGGUGGAAUGCGCAGAUAUCAGGAGGAACACCGAUGGCGAAGGCAGGUCUCUGGGCUGUAACUGACGCUGAGAAGCGAAAGCAUGGGGAGCGAACAGGAUUAGAUACCCUGGUAGUCCAUGCCGUAAACGUUGGGCACUAGGUGUGGGGGACAUUCCACGUUUUCCGCGCCGUAGCUAACGCAUUAAGUGCCCCGCCUGGGGAGUACGGCCGCAAGGCUAAAACUCAAAGAAAUUGACGGGGGCCCGCACAAGCGGCGGAGCAUGCGGAUUAAUUCGAAGCAACGCGAAGAACCUUACCAAGGCUU